This 231-nucleotide unclassified non-coding RNA is filed under the name plant metagenome. RNAcentral's name for it is "partial contains small subunit ribosomal RNA, internal transcribed spacer 1, and 5.8S ribosomal RNA". The stretch from base 183 to 231 matches the Rfam family "5.8S ribosomal RNA", at positions 1 to 49 of the family's 154-position model. The record is from RNAcentral.
UUUCCGUAGGUGAACCUGCGGAAGGAUCAUUCAUAAUAAAGUGUUUUAUGGCACUUUUUAAAAAUCCAUAUCCACCUUGUGUGCAAUGUUAGAUCUCGUCAAUCUUGGCGAGAUUUUUAUACAUCAACUCAUUUUUUAACUAAUUUGUCUGAAAAAUAUUAUGAAUACUUAAUUCAAAAUACAACUUUCAACAACGGAUCUCUUGGCUCUCGCAUCGAUGGAGAACGCAGC